UACGUAGGUGGCUAGCGUUAUCCGGAAUUACUGGGCGUAAAGGGUGCGUAGGUGGUUUUUCAAGUCAGGAGUGAAAGGCUACGGCUCAACCGUAGUAAGCACUUGAAACUGUAAAACUUGAGUGCAGGAGAGGAGAGUAGAAUUCCUAGUGUAGCGGUGAAAUGCGUAGAUAUUAGGAGGAAUACCAGUUGCGAAGGCGGCUCUCUGGACUGUAACUGACACUGAGGCACGAAAGCGUGGGGAGCAAACAGG
RNAcentral lists this ribosomal RNA (252 nucleotides) under uncultured bacterium. Its description in RNAcentral is "partial 16S ribosomal RNA". It matches the Rfam family "Bacterial small subunit ribosomal RNA", at positions 524 to 776 of the family's 1533-position model. The record is from RNAcentral.